UACGUAGGUGGCAAGCGUUGUCCGGAAUUAUUGGGCGUAAAGCGCGCGCAGGUGGUCCUUUAAGUCUGAUGGGAAAGCCCACGGCUCAACCGUGGAGGGUCAUUGGAAACUGGGGGACUUGAGUGCAGAAGAGGAAAGUGGAAUUCCAAGUGUAGCGGUGAAAUGCGUAGAGAUUUGGAGGAACACCAGUGGCGAAGUAGACUUUCGGGUCUGUAACUGACACUGAGGCGCGAAAACGUGGGGAGCAAACAGU
RNAcentral lists this ribosomal RNA (253 nucleotides) under uncultured bacterium. Its description in RNAcentral is "partial 16S ribosomal RNA". It matches the Rfam family "Bacterial small subunit ribosomal RNA", at positions 524 to 776 of the family's 1533-position model. The record is from RNAcentral.